CUAGAGAUCACUCGGGGUCUUGUUGCAAUGCAGCUUCUGAUUCACCAGGUCUGGGAUGGGGCCUGAGUUUCUGAAUUUCUGACAAGCUCCCAGGUGAUGCUAAU
RNAcentral lists this microRNA precursor (104 nucleotides) under Marmota monax (woodchuck). Lineage: Eukaryota; Metazoa; Chordata; Mammalia; Rodentia; Sciuridae. The record is from RNAcentral.